UGACCUCNAAUCAGGUAGGACUACCCGCUGAACUA
Molecule: ribosomal RNA, 35 nt
Filed under: Neoboletus sp. 'flammeus'
Lineage: Eukaryota; Fungi; Basidiomycota; Agaricomycetes; Boletales; Boletaceae
Description: partial 28S ribosomal RNA
Source: RNAcentral